CAGUCGCCGCGGUAAAACGUAGGUGGCAAGCGUUGUCCGGAAUUAUUGGGCGUAUAGCGCGCGCAGGCGGAUCAGUUAGUCUGUCUUAAAAGUUCGGGGCUUAACCCCGUGAUGGGAUGGAAACUGCUGAUCUAGAGUAUCGGAGAGGAAAGUGGAAUUCCUAGUGUAGCGGUGAAAUGCGUAGAUAUUAGGAAGAACACCAGUGGCGAAGGCGACUUUCUGGACGAAAACUGACGCUGAGGCGCGAAAGCCAGGGGAGCGAACGGGAUUAGAUACCCGGGUAGUCCCUGUCUCUUAUACA
Molecule: ribosomal RNA, 301 nt
Filed under: uncultured bacterium
Lineage: Bacteria
Description: partial 16S ribosomal RNA
Rfam family: Bacterial small subunit ribosomal RNA
Source: RNAcentral